RNAcentral lists this ribosomal RNA (505 nucleotides) under uncultured bacterium. RNAcentral's name for it is "partial 16S ribosomal RNA". It matches the Rfam family "Bacterial small subunit ribosomal RNA", at positions 29 to 523 of the family's 1533-position model. The record is from RNAcentral.
AUUGAACGCUGGCGGCAGGCCUAACACAUGCAAGUCGGACGGUAGCACAGAGGAGCUUGCUCCUCGGGUGACGAGUGGCGGACGGGUGAGUAAAGUCUGGGGAUCUGCCCGAUAGAGGGGGAUAACCACUGGAAACGGUGGCUAAUACCGCAUAACGUCGCAAGACCAAAGAGGGGGACCUUCGGGCCUCUCACUAUCGGAUGAACCCAGAUGGGAUUAGCUAGUAGGCGGGGUAACGGCCCACCUAGGCGACGAUCCCUAGCUGGUCUGAGAGGAUGAACAGCCACACUGGAACUGAGACACGGGCCAGACUCCUACGGGAGGCAGCAGUGGGGAAUAUUGCACAAUGGGCGCAAGCCUGAUGCAGCCAUGCCGCGUGUAUGAAGAAGGCCUUCGGGUUGUAAAGUACUUUCAGCGGGGAGGAAGGCGAUGUGGUUAAUACCGCGUCGAUUGACGUUACCCGCAGAAGAAGCACCGGCCAACUCCGUGCCAGCCGCCGCAGUAA